UCCUCACUAAUCAAGCACUAAAAAAUCUCACAACUUUCUUCACUUCACAAACAUCAAUCUCCGAGUACUUACAACGACACUCCCUCCCUCCCUCCCUCUCUUUCUGUGAAGAAGAGGCUAAUAUGGGAUCAGUGUCGCUGAAAAUAGGAGAUGGAACAGCCAGAUUCAAGAGAGCAAGUUUCUGUUCAUCAGCAGUGAACAUUCUCAUGCUCUUCUCUGUACUAACCACUAAUCUUUUUGCAUUAUAUGCCUUCACAUCUUCUCCAAAAGACCAUCAAACUCACCUCUUUCACAAUCCCCAUAAAAAUAUAUCUUUGAUCUCUGAGCAUGUCUCUUUAAUACUAAGAGAGAUCGCUGCUUCUCAAAAAAAGCUUGCCGGGAUGGAGAAAGAGCUUUUGGGCUAUGAAACUAUGGAUAUUUCAAGGCCGAAUAUUGCAAGUGAGCUCAAAUUGUUUUUGCAACACCAUCAACUCCCUCUUGGCAAAGAUUCAAGAACUGGGAUCACUGAAAUGGUGGCUUCUGUGGGUCAUUCUUGUGAGAAAUCUGCAGACUUGUUGUCUCAGUAUAUGGCUUACAAGGUUUCUGGGCCCUGUCCUGGUGAUUGGAGCCUUGGCCAGAAGUUGAUUUUGCGUGGAUGCGAGCCUUUGCCCAGAAGGAGAUGCUUUGCAAAGUCUGUUCAAAAGGUGGGUCUUUAUCGUUUUCCUGUUUCUCUUUGGAAACCUGUUAGUGAAAAGAUUUUAACUUGGAGUGGUCUUGGUUGCAAGAAUCUUGAGUGCUUGAAUAGAAAGAAGUUGAGCAGGGAUUGUGUUGGUUGCUUUAAUAUUACUAGUGGUUAUGAGACUCAAAGGUUUGUUAAAGCUCGAGGCAAGAAUGAUUUUAUCAUUGAUGAUGUGUUAGCUUUAGCAAGUGGGGGAAUUAGAAUUGGAUUUGAUAUUGGUGGUGGGUCUGGGACUUUUGCUGCUAGGAUGGCAGAGAGAAAUGUGACUGUGAUUACUAAUACUUUGAAUGUGGAUGCUCCAUUUAGUGAAUUUAUUGCAGCAAGAGGGCUUUUCCCUUUGUAUUUGAGUUUAGAUCACAGGUUCCCUUUCUAUGACAAUGUUUUCGAUUUAAUUCAUGCUUCUAGUGGAUUGGAUGGAGGGGACAAACCUGAAAAACUGGAGUUCCUAAUGUUUGACAUCGAUCGAAUUCUGAGGGCUGGUGGAUUGUUUUGGUUGGAUAACUUCUACUGCGCAGAUGAUGAGAAGAAGACAGCUUUGACUCGACUGAUUGAGCGGUUUGGGUAUAAGAAGCUGAAAUGGGUUGUGGGAGAGAAGAUAGACACAGCUGGGUCAGGGAAAUCAGAAGUUUAUUUGUCUGCCGUACUACAAAAGCCAGCAAGAGUGUGAUGAUUACUGGAGUUUUCACAGGAAACUGAAAGAGGUUAAAAAGAUGCUGUGGGCAGAUGGCAGCUGGAGCUGGCUUUUUGGACAUAAUUUGCUGGCUUCUCCAUAAGGGGAGGGACGUAGGAGUUUUACUAUAUUUACUCCUUUUCACCGUCCAUCACAAGUGGUUUCAAACGUCGAGGAUAGACCUUGACAAAGUGGAGGCUGAAUUGGAUGUGCCCACAUGACUCACCCUCACCGCUAGGGUGAGAUAUGAAAUAAGUUCGCCGGGAAAGCUUGCUUUAGGUUUGAACAGGGGAGGAACCAUUCCGAUAACGUUCUUCUCCACCAGGUGGGAAAACGUCCAUUUAGUUGCGAGGGGGCAUGACUUGGCUGAAGAAGUUUUAUCAAGCAUGGAUACCCUCUGUGAUGGGGGCAUUGAUGCCUUGGAUGUUGGCGCUGUUGAGAAGCUUCAUUCCCUCCUCACUCAUCUGCUGAACUUCUGAAGGUGACAGAAUCCUAAUGCAGCGAACACAGCCAACGAAUUCCCUGCACAAGCACAUCAAACUUAGGCCUUGAAUUAGAAAGGACUUCUUUGCUAUCUACACACAAAGAAUGUAUAUAACCACAAGCAAACCAGCAAGAAAUUGGAAAGGGCAAAAGGACACUUACUCCCAAGGAUCAUCACCUAUGAGUAGAACAUCAUUCUCGUAGUCCACAUAUACUAAUUUCCACCCAGAACCUUUAGGGUUAUUUAGCAGCCCAUCAAGUCCAAACAUGCAUUCAAUAGCGGAGCAUAGUUCUUCAUAAUUUUUGAAACUUGAGACAUCAAUUGACCUCCCAACAGACCCUGUCUUCUGAACCUGUAAACCAUAAACAAUGUUAGCACCCACCAUUCGAUGAAAUGUAAUAAAAUCAUGGGAAAAAAACAUCCAAAUGCCCUCAAUCUCACUCACAAACAUGCAGAGAGACUAAAAACCUGAACAAAGAUUGUUACCAAAGAUCUUUUAUUUACAACACAAUCAUGCAUACCUUGGUAUAUGUGCGCACACGUGGGGCUACUUGCUGCCAUGAGUUAUUCUGGAGCAGAUUGCUAUUAUCAAAUUCAAUGUUGCUUGAAGAUGUGCCACCUGAGUUGUCAGGAAAGUCUUGCCGUGAGAAAGCUUGGGAAUCUGCUAGGCUUGCUGAGGUAAUCUGAGACUGAACAUCCUGGCUUGAGCUGAGGUUGCCAACUAGACAAUCUGAAGCAUUCUGCAAAUCAGCAUCCUUUAAUGUGCAGAACUCAUCUAGAAUAGCACUUGAGACAGACCGAUCAUACACAGAACCACCACCAUUGCUAGCAUCAAUGUUAAGAGAACCAUAUAUUCCACUUUGAUCAUUGCUCUCGUCAGAUGAAUCCUUCACUGCACCUGAGUUGAAGCUACAUGGCUCUUGCUGAGCCAAAGGAAUCAAUUGGUUUGCUUCGGAUAAAAUUCUCAAAUUGCUCAUCUGAUGAUCCCACGCAUCUUGAUGCAUAAAAGGUAAAGAGGGAUCUUGUAAUCCAAACAUAGACAACGGUCCUGAUCUAUACAUACUGUCAAUAGACAUUGGAUGUGAUAUCCAUUCGCCUGCAUCUAGAAAUGGAAGAGAACAGUUUGGUGUAGUGGCAUCAGCUAGAGAUGCACGGAUCUGCUGGGAAUUAAGUAGCGAUGACUCUGUAAGUGCCUGCACUGGCCAGAGGCUGGCUUGUAAUUGUGACUGGCCCUGAUUCUGAUUUUGGAACACCAGAUGAUUUGUGGCAUUCUGCUGAGUCAUAGGACACGAGAUUGGUUUUUGCACAAUGCACUCUCUUGUUGAGGCUGGUUGGCUUAACUGAUCUGGCAAAUGCUCAGGUUUUGCUUUGAAUUUCCCAUCAACAACUCCAACUGACGCUUGAUUUUCAACUUUGCUCAAAGAAAGUGACUUCCCAGCUACAUUUGCUUUUGAUGAAGAUGAGUUCAUGGCAUUGGAUUGGUCUAGACAGAUCUGGGAAUAGUUUUGGUUUUCUAUGGGCGUAAUUCCUGACUGGUUUAGCUGAGGCGUCUGAUUAAUUGCUGCCUGCAUGUUAUUAACAUCUAAUGAAGCCACCUUCACAGCAGAUACUUCUGGUAGUGCAGUUCCACAGAUUCCAGGAUAGUUAACAGCUUGAGGUUUCAUUAGCAUGUUAAUCAGUUGUUCAGAAUAUAUGUUUGACAUUGAAGCACAUGGAAGACUUGCAUUUCCACUCCCUGGAAGCAAUGCAAGAGGCUUUUUUACCAAACCCCCCCAUUCAGUAUCUCCU
Populus nigra (black poplar) is the source of this 3660-nucleotide RNA transcript. It is a transcript of the gene named probable methyltransferase At1g29790, with no coding region annotated. The transcript is spliced from 4 exons. The record is from RefSeq and is a predicted model, not a curated record. Lineage: Eukaryota; Viridiplantae; Streptophyta; Magnoliopsida; Malpighiales; Salicaceae.